This 1833-nucleotide long non-coding RNA is filed under the name Homo sapiens (human). RNAcentral's name for it is "non-protein coding lnc-LAMA4-4:1". The record is from RNAcentral. Lineage: Eukaryota; Metazoa; Chordata; Mammalia; Primates; Hominidae.
UUAGAAAUUUGAGACUUCUUGUGACUUAAACUGCCUGUUCUACCAGAAUGAGGAAACGGAGGCUCAGGGAAAUUAAAUGGCUUGACCAAAAUUCAUGUGUAAGUGUCAGCAAGUGCCUAUACUGGGAUUUGAACCUAAGUCUGUCUGACUCCAAAUCGGCAGUCCUAAGCUAUUGCUCCACUUCCCUGCUUUGUACACCAGAAAGGUAAGAGACACAAAUGGGGCUAUUUGAAAAACAAACAGCAGGAUGAACAACUAGUUGAUAUGCCCCUUCAAGGCCCAAAUGAAGAGCAUGAUUGGACCAGACUGUGUGGAAGAGGACAAAGAGGUAGGAGCAAGAAAGAGGAGCCUCUGGAUGAGCAGAAGCCAGUAAAGGGACACCAAUGGCACAUAUCCAUCUUCCAACUAAAGCAUUACAGGCUAACUCUUUUUUUCCAUCAUUGAGCAAGUUGCUUUGACCCACACACUCCCUAAAAACACUGCAGCAGCAUCAUACCACACAGUGGAAGAAAUCUCAUCCCAAAUAUGCACAUAGAUAACCAGAGAGACUACUGGUUAUCCACUUGGUGACCUGGCCAACUGGCAACUGAACUGGAAAAACAUCUGCUGACCUAAAAACUACUCUACCAGGCAACUUUCUCUCAAUGAGUUCCCUGUAAAACAUUCUCUGUUAACCUACUCAUUAGUAUAAGAGUGAGUCUUUGGGAAAAGAUGUACCUGGACUCAAGUCCAGGCUCUAACACCUACUGACUCUGUGACCUUGAACAAGAUUCGUAUGUGUGCUAGGCAUCAUUUGUAAUGCAUGCAUAAUAAUUCUAUCCUAGGAUUACAGGGAGGAUUAACUGAGAUGAUACAUGAGAAACAGUCCAGUGCUUGGGCUCUAAUAAGUGCUCAAACAGAUUAGCUGUUGUUACUUAAAAAUUAUGGCAAGUAAAGCCCUUUAUAAGCUCUUCAAAGCAGUCAAAGAUAUCCAUUUUUACUUUACUAGUGAAAUCAGCAAUGUGAUUCUUAUAUUAGAGAUAUAAAAAUCUGGCAUUUAGGGCAUUUGCAUUAGACAAGUAUAUUUUUGCUUGGAGUAGCACUAUGUAUUCAUGUGAGAUAAAGAACUAUCUAGAUUGCCAUAUAUUGGAACUCCAGUAACCAAAUCCUAUAGCUGCUGUGGUCUAGGGUGGCUGGCUACCCUUGCUAAUUUAAACAUUUUCUCUCAGGCUAUUGGUUUCCUUCUGGCUUCCUGUGAUGCUAUCUCAGACACAAUUGCAACCAGGUUUGCGGUGCGGUUUAAUGACACAUUUCAUGAGGUUUUGUUUUGGUGUUGCUCUGUCAAAAUGAUGUGGGGGAUAAGGGAGUGCAAUCUAUUGCAGCUGUUUGUUAUCACUCAGAUAAGCCUGAGAAGCUUCCCAAUUAACCUUAGUGUGUCAUAAAGCCAAUCAGUACAUGAAAACAAGAAUUUCUCAUUUACUGAAAUGAUAUUUGCCUUGUAAUUGCUGUCUGGGAAUGUUGAACCAAGUAGAAAACAUUAAGGAAACUGCACUCCUCCCCACAAAUUUAAGCUUGGUGAUUGUUAAAAAUAAAAAUAAAAAAGACCAAGAAUACUGUAGUCCCAGCUACUUAGGAGGCUGAGACAGGAGAAUUGUUUGAACCCGGGAGGUGGAGGUUGCAGUGAGCCGAGAUCAUGCCACUGCACACCAGCCUGGGCGACAGAGCAAGACUCCAUCUCAAAAAAAAAAGACCAAGAAUAUUAUUUGGUAGUCUAGCUGUUUUGUCCUGGUUUCAAGGCACCACAUGUCUUUUGAUGUAAAAUAAUAUACUAAAACAUGCUUACAGCUUAAAACC